RNAcentral lists this ribosomal RNA (497 nucleotides) under uncultured bacterium. RNAcentral's name for it is "partial 16S ribosomal RNA". It matches the Rfam family "Bacterial small subunit ribosomal RNA", at positions 28 to 507 of the family's 1533-position model. The record is from RNAcentral.
GAUGAACGCUGGCGGCGUGCCUAAUACAUGCAAGUCGAGCGAACAGACGAGGAGCUUGCUCCUCUGACGUUAGCGGCGGACGGGUGAGUAACACGUGGAUAACCUACCUAUAAGACUGGGAUAACUUCGGGAAACCGGAGCUAAUACCGGAUAAUAUAUUGAACCGCAUGGUUCAAUAGUGAAAGACGGUUUUGCUGUCACUUAUAGAUGGAUCCGCGCCGCAUUAGCUAGUUGGUAAGGUAACGGCUUACCAAGGCGACGAUGCGUAGCCGACCUGAGAGGGUGAUCGGCCACACUGGAACUGAGACACGGUCCAGACUCCUACGGGAGGCAGCAGUAGGGAAGCUUCCGCAAUGGGCGAAAGCCUGACGGAGCAGCGCCGCGUGAGUGAUGAAGGUCUUCGGAGCGUAAAACUCUGUUAUUAUGGAAGAACAAAUGUGUAAGUAACUAUGCACGUCUUGACGGUACCUAAUCAGAAAGCCACGGCUAACUACGUG